Molecule: ribosomal RNA, 617 nt
Filed under: Clostridioides difficile
Lineage: Bacteria; Bacillati; Bacillota; Clostridia; Peptostreptococcales; Peptostreptococcaceae
Description: bacterial LSU rRNA
Rfam family: Bacterial large subunit ribosomal RNA
Source: RNAcentral
UUUAACUGAGCGUUCAGUUACUUGACGUAGACCCGAAACCGGGCGACCUACCCAUGAGCAGGAUGAAGCGAAAGUAAAAUUUCGUGGAGGUCCGAACCCACGAGCGUUGAAAAGCUCGGGGAUGACUUGUGGGUAGCGGUGAAAUUCCAAUCGAGCCCGGAGAUAGCUGGUUCUCCCCGAAAUAGCUUUAGGGCUAGCCUCAAGGUGAGAGAUACGGAGGUAGAGCACUGAAUGUCCUAGGGGGUAUUGCACCUACCGAAGACUAUCAAACUCCGAAUGCCGUCAUCUUAUACUUGGGAGUCAGACUGUGGGUGAUAAGAUUCAUAGUCGAAAGGGCAACAGCCCAGAUCGUCAGCUAAGGUCCCUAAAUGUAAGUUAAGUGGUAAAGGAUGUGGGAUUGCACAGACAACCAGGAUGUUGGCUUAGAAGCAGCCACUCAUUCAAAGAGUGCGUAAUAGCUCACUGGUCGAGUGAUCCUGCGCCGAAGAUGUCCGGGGCUAAAACUUACUACCGAAGCUACGGCAUCAGUAAUGAUGGGUAGGGGAGCUUCCCAUACGGGUUGAAGCAUGACCGUAAGGACAUGUGGACAGUAUGGGAGUGAGAAUGUUGGCAUGAGU